RNAcentral lists this long non-coding RNA (288 nucleotides) under Elaeis guineensis (African oil palm). RNAcentral's name for it is "long non-coding RNA (EGUI_LNC041882)". The record is from RNAcentral. Lineage: Eukaryota; Viridiplantae; Streptophyta; Magnoliopsida; Arecales; Arecaceae.
CACAUGGUCCACCAUGAACCAGUGCCCAUUUUUGUGACGUUUCUCACGAUCUAUGGAGGUUUCUGUGGACCGAGUGGUCUACGAGUGAGAUAUUGCGGUCCAUGGUGGUCUGUUGAACGAUCAGACAGCUGGAAUGUGUUGUGACUUUGAUCAAAUGGCUAUGAGGUUUCUUUGAGUCCUACUCAGGUUCUGUUACCAAGUGAGAAUCGGAUUGAGGCCUAUAAGAGGCCCUACGGGCAAAUGGAGAUAGGGUGGCUUGGUGUGUUCAACAGAGAAUGUAUAGCCGGC